Molecule: ribosomal RNA, 374 nt
Filed under: Kingella oralis
Lineage: Bacteria; Pseudomonadati; Pseudomonadota; Betaproteobacteria; Neisseriales; Neisseriaceae
Description: bacterial SSU rRNA
Rfam family: Bacterial small subunit ribosomal RNA
Source: RNAcentral
AGUAAUGCAUCGGAACGUACCGAGUAAUGGGGGAUAACUAUCCGAAAGGAUAGCUAAUUACCCGAUACGCUUUGAGAAGGAAAGUGGGGGCUCUUCGGACCUCACGUUAUUCGAGCGGCCGAUGUCUGAUUAGCUAGUUGGUGGGGUAAAGGCCUACCAAGGCGACGAUCAGUAGCGGGUCUGAGAGGAUGAUCCGCCACACUGGGACUGAGACACGGCCCAGACUCUACGGGAGGCAGCAGUGGGGAAUUUUGGACAAUGGGCGCAAGCCUGAUCCAGCCAUGCCGCGUGUCUGAAGAAGGGCUCGGGUUGUAAAGGACUUUUGUUAGGGAAGAAAAGGAUAGUGUUAAUACCAUUUCUGCUGACGGACCAAA